UUACUUUUUCUCCUCUUUGACAGUUGUCGUCUAUUCGAACGUUAUACAGUGUCUGAGUUGUACUGAACUGUCAAACCCUCAGAACACAGAUUUUGUGUCAGCUCACAUCUUAUUUCCAGAGAGGAAAUUCUAUAUCUGCCCUCAUGCGUUCUCUACAGCAACGACGCUUGAAAAAUAAACAUUCUGAACUUGUAAAUUUUACUAAAUAGAAGUAAGAAGAAUAUUGUACAAAAUAAAGGCUUGUACAAAAACUCAACUGACAGUUGUCAAGUAAAACGGCUCAUUAGUGGGACAAUAUUAUAUUAUUACAGGUUAACUCGAUUGACGAACAAGACAGACCGUGUGUACAUCACUACAAUAGUAGUAGUGUUGCCAGUAAAAAAAAUAUUUUUGAAAUCACAGAACGUUCAUAAAUCUAUUUUCAUCGCAGAGAAAAAAGAACGUUCAUAAACACUGAGCCAAUAAACUACAUACAGUGGUUAGGGUGGCAAGCCGACUCGUGUGCCUCUGCCAGUGGUGAGGGUGGCAAGCCGACUCGUGUGCCUCUGCCCAAUUAGAACAAAAUGCAAAAAUACCCUUCUAAUCACAUCAAUUGUUUACAGAUUUUGAAGUGCUGAGUUUUGGAUUGCCUAGAGCGUGGUGUUGAUGACUUUGAGAAGACGUUGCGGUCGAGGACGUCACGCCAUCAGGAAAGGCCGUGUUACAAAUAUAACUCCGAACCUCAGAAUAAUAACAGGAAGCAAUCGUAUUUACACCGCGACGACGUACUCUGUGGUCGGCAGAUAAGCCAUGGCGUGAAACGUCAAAAAGGAGAUGUCAAUGUCAUUGUCAAGGAAGGGGGGAGUUGAUUUGAAUAUGGAGUCGUGUUCUUGUAUUUUCUGAUUUAAUUUGUUUGUUAUCGAUAUAAAUCCUCAUGUUUUCAAGUUGUAUUAAUGAUUUAUGGUAAAACAAACCUAUUUCACAAAUGAGUUUACUUUUUGUGUCACCUUUUCCUUCUGGUUUUAACAGAUUUGUAAAUCUAUUUUCAUCACAGAAAAAAACGAACGCUAUAAUAAAUAAAAUUAUUUUACUACCUAACUGGACCAAUCAAAGUCAAAAUCGGUCAAAAAUCAUCAUGAAUCGGUGAAUUGUCUAUGACAGCAACCUAUUUGGGCAUUUCAAAUCUCAAUGUAAACAAAAUGUUAUCCAAACAAACAGACAGCAGCAAGUGAAGAAUUACAGUUAACAAGACUUUUACCUACUUGGAUAACAGCGCAAGCGACCAAAUGACAACAGAUGGUACAGACAUCUGAAAAGAAAAAAGAGCUGCAGCAAUGGGAAACAUCACAUCCUGCGAGUCUACAGGCCAGAGUGUGAGUAAGGACACUCCAAAAAAGCCGUCAUACAUAGCUAACAACAUCAAACCCAUCACUGAAGAACCCACAUAUCCUACUGCGUGAGAGACUGCCAGUGAUACCAGGUCAGCUGUUUCUACACAACACUCAGUUCGGCUACAUUGUUGCUGGCACUGCACCAUUGAACAGCGAGGGAUGUUCAUCACUACCAAGUAACUUUUGCAACUUUCCUAUUUUUUCGGGAAUACCGCCGCUGCCCCCGGGCCAUGCCUCUAUAAUGAGAAGAUCACCUGGGUGAAGAUGACGAUGCAACAUCGACAUGUCGAAGUACCCAGCGAAUGUGACGACAAAACUACUAAAUGGAUUUUGAUCAACAGACAACCUGGAUAGGCAACUUUUUAAAAAUCCUAGAAUCACUACCAGAAAACUUUUUAGCUCUAAGUUUUAUUUUAACAGUUACUAGAAAAUAAAACCGAGAGAGAGAGAAAACAGCUGUAUUUAUUUUAACUCUUUGGACACAUGGCGCCAUCUGUUGCCGAGUAGCGGUAAUAAUAGCGACACCUGUUGUCGAGUAGUAGUAACAAUGAGUUAGUGCAGUGAGAGUGAAGUGAACGUAACAAUUAUAUUAUUUAUAUAUAUUUUAAUAUUUAUAGGUUCUAUUUAAGUUUAGGUUUAUUAGUAGAUCACAUUUUAUUCUGUUUUAUUUAAUAAAGUAUGCUCUUACUUAAAAGAGCUAUGAUAUAAUUCAAGCUAUCGAUUUUAACUGUUACUUGUAUCCAUAUUCUGAUUGAUAAAUAAUAAAUUUAGAAAUAUCAUUGUGAUUUUAAUCAUACCUACUUAUAACAAUAUAAAAUAAUUUAACAUGAUUGUGUUGAUGUAGUUUCUAAUGUGGAUUUGUAUACUUAAAAUAAAAUAAAUUUGUCUUGGCA
Non-coding RNA from Plutella xylostella (diamondback moth), 2263 nucleotides. Lineage: Eukaryota; Metazoa; Arthropoda; Insecta; Lepidoptera; Plutellidae. The record is from RefSeq and is a predicted model, not a curated record.